Non-coding RNA from Dermacentor albipictus, 1156 nucleotides. The record is from RefSeq and is a predicted model, not a curated record. NCBI's taxonomy places the organism in Eukaryota, Metazoa, Arthropoda, Arachnida, Ixodida, Ixodidae.
CAGUACAGAGUGGACAGUGGCUGGAAAUGGCGGUGUGUGGUGGUGGUAGACCUGUUGCAUUUGGGAUUUCACUGAGAGAAUAAGAAGGAAUCGACGAUGGACUGCUACGCAACUAUUGCACCAGUGCAGGAUGUCUGUGUGCCGGUUUGUGCACAAUUUCUCAGCCAGCGGGCCUGAGAAAGUGUGCCACAGCAGUCUGUGUAGUGGUGCUCUUUGUUCUGGAAGGACGCAAGCAUUGCUGAGGAGCCAUUUGACCUGCCGCCACACUAAUAUUGUAUUUGGCAAAGCCGAAGGCCUCUGCAAGCAGCCAGUCAUUCCAAGUCUCAACCAAUCCUUUCUCUAGUCAGCCAAUUUCUAGUGUCUAUGCGGAAAGGACUUGCGCAAAACUGGACACGGGACACUAAAAAGGCGACAAGGACAGGCGUAAACUUCCAACCGGUGUUCAUUACAAAAAGGUAUGUAUAUGUACUCUUGCACACUUGAUCAUAAUCUGUUACAAUCGUGCAAGUCAACAUGGUCAUCACAAAUAAACAAGCGCACCAAGGCCUAAGGCGGCUUCCCGCAUACAGACCCCAGAUAUUCAGAUUCUUUAACAGUCAGUGCUAUAGGGAUGGCUUGUUAACCCUGUUGCAUUGUGCAAUAGCCGCUGCCUCAAUGAUGAGUCUAGUGUUUUCUUUCACACUGCUUGCUAUUAUUUCUGUUUUUUCAAACAGUCGAUGACAUUUGCAUUGGCAGCAAUGGACUCCAAGGAAACCUCCUUUCCCGUUUUGUACUUUCCGAUUAUGUUCCUGUAGUCUCAAGUUUAGGGAACUUCCCAUUUGUCCUACGUAACGCUGCCUGCAGGAAGGAGGUAUGCUAUACACUAUUCCUCUUGAGCAUUUGAUGAAACCCUUUCUGUGCACAAUGUUGCAUGAUUUUGAUUGUCUGCUGACAGGGCUGGUUUUGGCGCAUAACUUGGAUAGCUUGCGGGGCGCGGAAGAAAUGACCAAGGCUGCAGUCCUUUGGCCUAUUUUCUUUAGUUACACCUAUGUGAUACUGUUCACAGGAAUCUAGCAGUCAUCCCAUACAUUACGCUAUCUUGCAUAAACUAAAGAAAAUAGGCCAAAGGGCGGGAGUUUCGGUCGUUUUUCCCGCACCCAUCAAGUUAUCUCAGUUA